CAAUAGCGUAUAUUAAAGUUGUUGCGGUUAAAAAGCUCGUAGUUGGAUUUCUGCUGAGAACGACCGGUCCGCCCUUUGGGUGUGUAUCUGGCUCUUUCUUGGCAUCUUCUUGGUGAACGUUGCUGCACUUGACUGUGUGGAGCGCUACCCAGGACUUUUACUUUGAGGAAAUUAGAGUGUUUCAAGCAGGCAUACGCCUUGAAUACAUUAGCAUGGAAUAAUAAGAUAGGACCUCGGUUCUAUUUUGUUGGUUUCUAGAGCUGAGGUAAUGAUUAAUAGGGAUAGUUGGGGGCAUUCGUAUUUAACUGUCAGAGGUGAAAUUCUUUGAUUUGUUAAAGACGGACUACUGCGAAAGCAUUUGCCAAGGAUGUUUUCAUUGA
RNAcentral lists this ribosomal RNA (380 nucleotides) under uncultured eukaryote. RNAcentral describes it as "partial 18S ribosomal RNA". It matches the Rfam family "Eukaryotic small subunit ribosomal RNA", at positions 592 to 976 of the family's 1831-position model. The record is from RNAcentral.